AGAGGGCGUGAAACCGCUUAGAAGGAAACGAGAGGCGCCGUUGUUUUUCAGCAUCAUUCAGCUGUCCGGUGCUGCUUUGUGGCGCUGGCGGUGCAUUUGUUGCUGGAUUGCAUCGAAAGCCGCUUGGGUUCUGUUGCGGGCUCGUGUAGCAAGGCACUUUUGUGUUUCUUUAUGCGUGUUCUGUGACUGCGCUUGGGCGGUUAUUGCAUCCCUACAGGAUCGGUGCUGGUUGAGCGUUGCCUCCUUGCUAUUUGCCGGUCGUUUGUCGGCUUUGGUAAGGUGGCUGUGUGAUUCCAUCCGCCGAGUAGGUGUUGUUUCGGUGUGAAAGUCGGCCAACCUCCCGACCCGUCUUGAAACACGGACCAAGGAGUCUAACAUGUGCGCGAGUCACUGGGUAUAUGACACCCGAGGGCGCAAUGAAAGUAAAGGCCGGCUCGAUCGGCUGACACACGACCCGUUCAUCCUGUGUUCGGUGCAGUGUGGUCCCAUCUUGGUCGCUUGUCGACGAGGUGGAGAUUGAGCGCAUGUGUUGGGACCCGAAAGAUGGUGAACUAUGCCUGAACAGGAUGAAGUCAGAGGAAACUCUGAUGGAAGUCCGAAGCGGUUCUGACGUGCAAAUCGA
Molecule: ribosomal RNA, 622 nt
Filed under: Desmoscolecidae sp. 273_8-1000_X
Lineage: Eukaryota; Metazoa; Nematoda; Chromadorea; Desmoscolecida; Desmoscolecidae
Description: eukaryotic LSU rRNA
Rfam family: Eukaryotic large subunit ribosomal RNA
Source: RNAcentral